UGCUGAUGAGAUUGCAGUAAGGUGCACUGGU
Molecule: non-coding RNA, 31 nt
Filed under: Homo sapiens (human)
Lineage: Eukaryota; Metazoa; Chordata; Mammalia; Primates; Hominidae
Source: RNAcentral